GACGAACGCUGGCGGCGUGCUUAACACAUGCAAGUCGAACGGUGAAGGGAUCAGCUUGCUGGUUCUGGAUGAGUGGCGAACGGGUGAGUAACACGUGAGUAACCUGCCCCCUUCUUCUGGAUAACCGCAUGAAAGUGUGGCUAAUACGGGAUAUUCUGGGUCUGUCGCAUGAUGGGUCUGGGAAAGAUAUUGUUUCGGUGGGGGAGGGGCUCGCGGCCUAUCAGCUUGUGGGAGGGGUGAUGGCCUACCAAGGCGGUGACGGGUAGCCGGCCUGAGAGGGUGGACGGUCACACUGGGACUGAGACACGGCCCAGACUCCUACGGGAGGCAGCAGUGGGGAAUAUUGCACAAUGGGCGCAAGCCUGAUGCAGCGACGCCGCGUGAGGGAUGGAGGCCUUCGGGUUGUAAACCUCUUUCGCCAGUGAAGCAGGCCUGCUCCUUGUGGGUGGGUUGACGGUAGCUGGAUAAGAAGCGCCGGCUAACUACGUG
RNAcentral lists this ribosomal RNA (489 nucleotides) under uncultured bacterium. Its description in RNAcentral is "partial 16S ribosomal RNA". It matches the Rfam family "Bacterial small subunit ribosomal RNA", at positions 28 to 507 of the family's 1533-position model. The record is from RNAcentral.